Bombyx mori (domestic silkworm) is the source of this 532-nucleotide long non-coding RNA. RefSeq lists it as uncharacterized. The record is from RefSeq and is a predicted model, not a curated record. The transcript has 3 exons. NCBI's taxonomy places the organism in Eukaryota, Metazoa, Arthropoda, Insecta, Lepidoptera, Bombycidae.
UAAACAAACAUGCGAAUACGUCGCUUUAGCAAAAUAAAAAUCACAUGGAAACACUAGGGACACACUAUAUUACAGAUUUUCAUAUGAUGUCGUAGUCCCCCAACCUUGUGAAUACGUUUUGAGAACAUACAUCACAACUUUUUAGGGUAAUGGUAAACGAUGAUUAAAAACCGUUGCUACGCACAUUGUCCCGAAUGUUUAAAUCAAAUGUAAAACUCUUAGGCGUUCGAGUCUAAGCCGUAAAGAGCCUGGCCACGGGACAUUCGCCGAUGCGAAUAUUCGCGCGGUGCGAACGGCGAAGCGUCUAGCGACUAAAACAAGCGCAUAGAAAUGUACCUAACAAGCCACGCGCACCGGCGACCGGCGAAGCGACCGGCGAAAUGUACCGAGCGAAUCGCGCGAUGCGGCGGGCGAGCAAAACAAAUGCAUGAAUACGGACGGCGCGAGCCACGGAGUCGAGCGGUAGUCGCGGCGAAUAGUACAGUGAUUAAAUGAGUUUAGUUGUUUUCGCCGCGAAAAAUUAACGCCGAAA